CACUUAUCAAGAGAGGUGGAGGGACUGGCCCUUUGAAGCCCGGCAACCAGUACUGAACAUAGAAAAUAAGGUUCAGUAUAAUGGUGCUAAUUCCUGCAGCGCUAGCUGAGAGAUGAGAA
RNAcentral lists this non-coding RNA (119 nucleotides) under Clostridium acidisoli. Its description in RNAcentral is "SAM-I sequence". It matches the Rfam family "SAM riboswitch aptamer (S box leader)". From Rfam's summary of the family: The SAM riboswitch is found upstream of a number of genes which code for proteins involved in methionine or cysteine biosynthesis in Gram-positive bacteria. The SAM riboswitch acts at the level of transcription termination control. RNAcentral also lists the same sequence under 1 other name. The record is from RNAcentral. Lineage: Bacteria; Bacillati; Bacillota; Clostridia; Eubacteriales; Clostridiaceae.